UACGUAGGGUGCGAGCGUUAAUCGGAAUUACUGGGCGUAAAGCGUGCGCAGGCGGUGAUGUAAGACCGAUGUGAAAUCCCCGGGCUUAACCUGGGAACUGCAUUGGUGACUGCAUCGCUCGAGUAUGGCAGAGGGGGGUAGAAUUCCACGUGUAGCAGUGAAAUGCGUAGAGAUGUGGAGGAAUACCGAUGGCGAAGGCAGCCCCCCUGGGUCAAUACUGACGCUCAUGCACGAAAGCGUGGGGAGCAAACAGG
This 254-nucleotide ribosomal RNA is filed under the name uncultured bacterium. RNAcentral describes it as "partial 16S ribosomal RNA". It matches the Rfam family "Bacterial small subunit ribosomal RNA", at positions 524 to 776 of the family's 1533-position model. The record is from RNAcentral.